CCUCUCGGGUGCCGAGUUCAGGUUGCGGCGGCUCCGGCGGCGGCUAGACGAGAUCCUGGGCGACAUAAUCAAGGAGCAUGAGGGCAAGGCUUCCGCGAGCAGGGGCGACAAAGCUGGAGAGGUAGACGACCUAGUGGACGUGCUGCUGAGGCUCAAAGAUGACCCCCAACUGGAAGUGCCCUUGACGAUGGAAAACGUCAAGGGUGUGAUCGUGGUGAGGAACGAUCCAUCCAUCGAUCGAUUCCCGUGAUACUAAUCUAUUGACUACCCACAUCGCUCUUGUUCUUGUGAUCUACAGGACAUGUUCGUGGCGGGCACCGAGACGUCAUCGACCGUCGUCGAAUGGGCCAUGUCGGAGCUGAUGAGGAACCCCGAGAUCAUGGAGAGAGCGCAGAAGGAAGCGAGGGAAUUAGCUGCGCAACGGAGGAACAUAAUAGAGGAGAGCGACAUCUCCGAGCCAAACUACAUGAAGCUAAUCAUCAAGGAGACGCUGCGGCUUCACCCGCCGGCCACGCUGUUACCGAGACUGUGCAGGGAGACCUGCGAGGUCAUGGGAUACAGGAUAGACGACGGCACUCGCGUCUUCGUCAACGCAUGGGCGAACGGCAGGGAUGCGCGUUACUGGGACGACGCCGAGAGCUUCAAGCCAGAGAGGUUCCAAGGCAGCGCCAUGGAUUUCAAGGGAGUCGAUUUCGACUACUUGCCGUUCGGGGCCGGGCGGAGGAUAUGCCCCGGAAUCGGGUUCGGGAUGGCCACCGUGGAGCUCGCCCUGGCUCACCUCCUCCUGCACUUCGACUGGGAGCUGCCCCAUGGAAUGAGACCGGAGGAGCUCGACAUGUGCGAGACCAUGGCGUUUGUCGCACCGAGGAAGACGGAGCUGAAGCUGAUCGCUACCAUUCGAGUUCCUAUCCCCAUCGCUACCUGAAGCUUUCUUGUUGGCGCAUUUAUUAUUAAGUGAAGGAUCUAAAUCAAAGAACAAUAAAUCUAAGAAUUAUAAUGCAUUCCUUUCGGUUGAGAAAAAUCUUCUCUACAAACACAACUAGAUUAGUAUUUUUCUCUCUUUCUACCAUUCACUUCUCUUUAAUCUCUAUUAAAUUAUUAUAUAUAUAUAUAUAAGUAAUUAGUAAAAUUUCUCUAAGAUAAUCUCUAAAUAAAUUUUAUUAUAAUUAAAAUUUCUUUUUGUUGAUCGACAAUCGAAUUCAAUCAUACUUAUAAUAUAAUUAGAUGUCUGUCUUUCAUAAAGUGUCAACUUCUCAUAAGUUGAAAAGAUAUAGACUAAGUAUAGAUAGGAAUGAGAGGAAGACAAUUAGCUUAUAGAAAUAUACAUCUGUUGUAGGAAAUAAUGUUGCCACGAAAUAAUUUUAGAUGUGAUUGAUGUAUAUAGAUAAAACCAUAUGCCUCCCAAGAAACAUGCACUUUACUACGUUCCAGAUGACUGUGUUGGAUUUCUCCUAUAGGCAGAUAUAUAUAGAUAAACAAUGUGUUCAUGUCAAUCAGCAAGAAAAGACAACUACUUAAAUAAAAUUGGGUUCUCAAAUGGACGAGGGUGUCUAUACUCCAUCUGAUUCUAUACAUCUUUAGAUCAUCGAAGUAUUGUACUUAUGGAUAAUAUUAGAUUCUCAUUAGAUUUUAGUGGCUUUGAUCAAAUCAAUUGACCAUUGUUGCCAAGAUGUCAUUUUCAAAGAUUUUUUCUUCUUUUAUUGUAGGAAAAUAUUCUAGAAUGACAACUUUUAGUUUCAUUUUUGUUUAGGAGAGAUGUUUUUCCCACACAAAAAAGAGAGACGCUUAAAAUCUAUGAUCACUAGAACACCACUGAGAUAAGGAAUUGCUUCUCAAAGAAAGCAACAAAAACACACAAACAAAUAAAUUUCGUGAAAAAAAUAUGAUCAUGACACGUCGAGCUCGUCUGCGUUAGGACAAUUAUGAUCAAUAUUUGUUUUCACAGUUUGCAUUGAUGCUCGACACAAGCAUCAAUGGCUACACACUGCAAUUUGCACAGUUGUUUUCGUUAAUACUGAGUCUGCUAAUUGAUGCAAAUUGUCAUUGCAAAGCUCAUUCCUGGCCUGUUCGGUCUCUCGAGGCCUGUAGACAACAUCACAAAUGCAUUUACAGCUCACAUCGGUGACCAUCACAGUGAAGUAACGGAAUUGGAACCGAGGAGGAAGAGAGCUCGCCUUCUGUAUCGGUUAUGGACAAGUGUAACCAGAGGGUUGAAGUCCUCGAAGACACUGUCCUCCCACUCUAUUGCUGAAAUGAUGUCUGCCAAAUGUAAUUCUCGUCCUGCCACACGACCUCCUUAUCAGUGCUGCAAUUCUCGUCACUCCUCUCCGCGGAGUUCCAUCUACGUGCAUCUUCCUCGUCUUUUCCAUCACCAAGUACUAGCUCGACCGCCUUGGAAGCCCUUGGUUGGAAUAUAUAUAUAUAUAUAUAUAUAUAUAUAUAUAUAUAUAUAUAUAUAUAUAUAAAAUUGACUUUUCUGUAAAACUUCAAGGAGAAUAGGAAGAGAAUAGUAUAAUAAACCACGAGUACUUUCAAUUAGUAGUGCUUUUGACUGACUGAUCAAAGACCACCUAUUUAUAUUAACUAAAAGAUAAAAUAUUUUUUUUAAUUAUAAAAAAUAUUAUAUCCCAAUAAAUCUUUUCACCCUCAUCUAUUUAUUUAAAUCUAAAUUCUUCUAUUUUAUUUUAUCUAUUCCUAAUUAUUUGAAUUAAUCUUAUCACACCCCUUUAAUUCAAAAGGGUUAUAACUUGAAGAUCUCUUGAAAAAAAUAAAAUUAUUAUUUAUUUUUUUAUCAUCCUCAUAGUUGCUAUUAAUUUAUCAAUUUUCUUAUCAUAAAUCAAGUAUUUUUCAUUUUAAAAAUAGCAUAACAUUAUUUUCUCAUCACUUCCUAUACUAAUGAGAUUUUAUUUUAAAUUAUAAAUAAACAUCGCAUCAUCAAUGAAUUUUUUACCAAAUCUGGUGUUCACGUUAAUUGUUCCUUUCCCUUUAACUUGAACUUUACUGUCAUUUCUCAUUUGUACUAUAGAUCAAAUUGAAUUAUCAAGGAACAACUUUAGUCCUCUGUCAUAUAAUAAAGAUACGGAGUAUUCUUUAUUAAAUGCUAUAAGGAAAAUAUUUUCUUUAUCCUUUUUAUCGUUAUUAUUUUCCUCAUGAUAAUUUGUUUGAGUUUUGUUCUAAUAUUUUUUUUAGAUGACCAUAUAUCUUUUUCAAGAUGACCAUAUUUUUUUUACGGUGAGAGCAGAGAGGAAUAUUUAGUUUUUUAUUUUUUAUUUUUUCAAUAUAUUUAAUUUUUUUAUAAUAAAAAUAUUGACGUGUUUCUUUAUUACCUACAUUAGAAUUCCUCUAACCAUCAUAUAAUUGGCAUUGUUCUUUACCAUUUUGAUCUUUCUCUUGAGAUCUAGUUUUUUACUUUUUCUUUUGGUCUUCUUUUGAUGUAUCUUUAUGAAGGGCUCUAAAGUUUCAUGUGAAGAUUAUUCACUUUUUAUUCAUGGACUAAAAGCAAGCCUAUUAAUUCAUCAACAGAUAAUAUACUUGUACCUUUAGCUUCUUCUAUAGCUAGUAGAAAUAAUAUCAAAUUUUGAAGAUCUUUUAAAUUUUAUUAAACUUUUUCUACUACAAUUUGAUCUUUUAAAUUUUCACCAUAAAAUCUCAUUUGUUUCAUAAUAGAAGAGACUUAAAAAAAAAAAAACCAAUGAUAGAUUAAGAAUUUUUCUUCAUAAGAGCUUCAAAUUGACGCUGAAGAAUUUGAAGUUUUGAAACUUUUACCUUAUUUCUGCCUCCAAACAUACUUUUUAAUAAUUUUCAAGUUUUUAUUGAUAUUGAUAUUAUCAUGAUUUGAGGAAAUAGAAGCUCAUCUAUUGCUUGUUGUAGCAUGUAGAAGGCUAUUACAUCUUUUUGCAUGUUCUUAUUCAUUUGAUCUUUUCGAUCUUCAAUAAUAUUAGGAUUAUAUAGAUCAUACUCAACAAAACUAUUCACUACUAAAUUUUACAAUCCUUGUGAAAUUUUACAAUAAUAUUAGCCUCCUUUUUGCCUCCUCUCGACGUAGGACGAACGCCCACGGCAGCGGAGGAGAAGGAUGAGCAGAUCAAAACCAGAGAGAGAGAAGAGGGAGCGAAUUUGUAGAGAGUUGGUGUGAUUAGUGUGGGAUAUGAUUAAGAGAGAGAGAGAGAGAGAGUGAUAAGGGUAAAAAUGGUGAUGUCACACACGACGUCAGCCGACGCCUCAUGUCUCGAUCGGCGCAACUGCACUCGAUUAACCGAGCCGGAACACUGGCCGAGGCUCAUUAACACACUUGGUUCUUCACGCCACGCCAACCCCAUAUCAGACGCUAUCAGCCUGCCUCCUGCAGGAAGCCACGUCAAGUAACAUCAAACUCAUAUAUAAAUACCCCAGAGUUCUAAACGAACAGGGAGGGAGACGAUUUCACCCAAAAACUCCUCUCCCAAUCACUGACUUGAUCGUCGGAGGGGUCGGGCUGAACCGCCGACCCGACCUGUGUGCAGGUACUCAACUAAAGCCGAUCCAACCCGGCGUUGUGGAACUUUCCAGCCAGACCCCCGCAAUCGGCCGCCCCAAGAUCCCGAGAAGAGUCACGCCUGAUCCCGGCCAUUCGGACCCCUGAACCAGCCGCGUCGACCCCGAGGUCACGGCUAAAAAAGUUACUUACCAUAACAGAUUGGCGCUAGAAGGAGGGGCCCGAAUGUCGAGGGAUCCUCAGACUAAUCCCGACAAACUCCCUGCCGAGGGAUCGUUCUUAGCGGGGGCGCAGACCGUGCGUCCCUUGCGCGACGGGCCGCGGGCUGACGACCUCCCCGCGACCUCGGAACGCUACUAGCGUUCAUUCGACGACCCGAAUCUGCUUCCGCCGGAGGGCGCUCCGAGCGCCCCCUCGCCAGUGUCAUCCGAGGCCUUUCACGACCUCGCUCGUCAAGUCCGAGCUCUGACGGAUAUGGUGCAAACCAUCAUCCCGCCCGUCUCCCAACCGACACCCCCGCUUAAGACUCAACUGCUACGACAACAAGAGCCGCCCGCCUGGGCCCACGUGACGCCUCCGGAGCCUCCCGCUUCGCCUCGGGUCCGACCGACCCCACUCGGGGAUCCAGUGAUGGCAGACCCGAGCGGCCCCCCGGAGCCCGAAGUAUUAUCUCCGGAGUCAACGGAUUCCCUGCGAGCCCAGCUACACUUUCUUAGUCAGCGGCUCGACGAACUAGAGAAGGAGUUUCGCAACUCAGAGGGAGAGCUCGGGAUGGACGCAUACCGAGGAUCUCCGUUCGCACCAAAGAUACGAGAUCACGCAGUUCCCCCGAACUUCCAUCUCCCUUCUUCGGACGCAUACGAUGGCUCCACUGACCCAGCGGACCAUGUUGCCGCUUUCCGUGCCCAAUUGGCACUGUACGGAACGUCUGCGCUUCAAUGUGCAGGGCGUUUCCCACGACCCUGAGGGGUCCGGCCCGCACAUGGUACAGCGGCCUGAAGACCGGAACGAUCACUUCCUUCGGCCAACUCGCCAAGGACUUCGAGCUCCACUUCGUAGCCCAUGCCCGGCCAAAGCCCUCCGCGACACUGCUCCUCGGACUCAAACAAAGAGAGGACGAGCCCCUCUCACAUUUCGUGGACCGCUUUGCCACGCAAAUCCGGAGCUUACCAGACACUCACCCCUCUCUGUUAGUUCAGGCGUUCAUGGUAGGCUUGCGACCUUCCAAAUUCUGUUGGUCCCUCGUAGAGCGACCCCCCACCACAGUACCAGAUAUGCUCCAGCGAGCUAACCGGUACAUCGCGGCGGAAGCUUGGGUGACCGCAAGGAAGAGGAGUGACUUUGGGCGACGGGCCCCGUAGCAGCGGUCAAGCAUCCGCGGUUGCUAUCCGGUGUAAUCCUCGUGCAAGGAAUCUAGCCCCUGCCUCAGUCUCUUCCAAGCGAAGGCUCCAUGUUUACCUGACCGCCUCUUGGCUCACGGUUAGCUUCGGCCUAACCCCCUCUUUUUUGCAUUCGCAUGGCUCGGUCGUAGACGGCCCGAGUCCACCUCAGCGCGGCCUGCGCGCCUGAGCAUUGCCCCUCGGUCGCAGCCUACCUGCGCCGAGCACCUCGGCCACACAUUGCCGAGAUCCACCUCGGCGCGGCUUGUCCGCCUGUGUCGUGCUACUCGGUCGCAUGGUGCCCGAGACCACGUCUGCGUGUCCUGCCCGCCUGCGUCGUGCUACUCGGCCGCAUGGCCCUCGCGACCAUGCCUGCGCGGUCUGCUCGCCUGCGUCGUACUCCUCGGCAGCAUGAUGCCCGAGACCACACCUGCGCAGCCUGCCCGCCUGCGUCGUGCUCCUCGCUCCCAUCAUCCCCGAGACACACCUGCGCGGCCAGCCCGCCUGCGUCGUGCUCCUUGGCUCCAUGUUCCCGAGACACACCUGCACGGCCAGCCCGCCUGCGUCGUGCCCCUCGGCUCCAUACUCCCCGAGACACGCCUGCGCGGCCAGCCUGCCUGCGNNNNNNNNNNNNNNNNNNNNGGCAAGAAAGAAUGAGGAUUUGACGUUUACGUUACUCAACUCUUUAAUCACUCUCUCGCUCUCUCUCUCUCUCUCUCUCUCUCGGUUUGACUCCGCAGAUAUGUAGAGAGAGCAACAACGACACCUCGACGGGAAUUACGUCGAGGAGGUUGUAUGCUCUUUUUACAAUUUUCUGAAAUAACCUAAUACGUAACAAAAAUUAAAAUGUUAACGAGAUUGGCAGUUCAAAACUUCAUUCGAUAAAUAUGAUGAUGUCUCCCAAGUUUAACCGAUUAAGAAGUUAAUUAUUUUAUAGUAAAAUCUAAAAUUAAAAUGUAAAAAAAAGUCAAUCGUAACUGUACAAGCCAUGCCUUUACGUACUAAUUUAUAAUAUUUAUCCUAAUCGAUUUGAUAUUGUUAUCUUUAUUGAUAAAGUUUACUAUUAAUAAUAAUUUUUUACUAUUGACAACCCGCUUGCUAUUGAUAAUUUUUUAAAAAAUAAAAUAUUAUUUUACUAUUUAUAGUCCUUAUAUUAACUAUUUUUUAUCUUUUUUUUAUAACCUCUUAUUUUAUUCUUGCUACCGACAUCCUUUCAAUUAUUGACAUUAUCGCUCACAGUUAUCGUCCGACCCUACUCAUCACCUCUUGAUAUUGACUUUCUAGAAGAAAAAUAUUGAGGAGAAAUUUGAAGAAGAGGAAGAUAUUUAUAUUUAUUUACAAAGAGUUUGUUUAGAAAUAUUAAAAAUUAAAAAAAAAUUAUAAAUGAUAAAAGAAACUUAAAAGUAGUAAUAUCCUUUUUGAUUAGUGGAUUAUGUUGCAUCUACCAACAUAGUUUUUGGAUGAAAUGAAGCUAAAAAGCAUUUCUAAAUCGGCAGUGAUAAAUUUGUUCUCAUUUUAGUCUAUUAUUGUUUUGCUUAUUUUAUAUCACUUAUUUGUGUAUCUCAUUUAGUGAUCUUUAUUUAAUAUAUAUAUUCUUAAUGAUGUCUCAUUUUCUUUUUUCUCUCUUGAUUUGCUUUGUUAUAUUUAUUUUAACAUUUAGUAAUAGAGAUAUGAGAAUAAUAACUUAAGAAAGACCAUCAAUAUCUUAACACCAUAUUAUUGAUACAUUAACGUCAUAUGAUCGACACUCAGUACUAUGUGACUAACAACUCUUUGCUACAUGAUCGAUACCUUAAUAUCAAAUGGUCAAUGCAUCAUCACCCCUCGAGUGCUGUGAUUACUGACUCAACCUUAUAAAAAUUAGUAUAUGAGAUCUAGCUUAACUAGUUGUUACUUCAUGUUCCUUAAAUGCGACGCUACAUGAUCACAUUUGUAGUCGAAGAAAAUACGUAAUCAUUUUAGACAUUAACCACACCAUUAAUCCAAAAAUCAAAUACUCCACUAUAAAUGCCCUCCAAGUAAAUUACACCUUUUAUAUUCGAUAUUAGCUUGAAUCUUUCGAACUUUUUAUUAAUUUAAAUAUCGAAGAGAUCUUAUCGCUCUCUACGUAAUUCUUUUUCAUAAUAUAUCUUACUGAACCUGCUCUGCCCUUCUCUUGACAUCAAGUUUGUGAUAGAUUUAGACUCUAAUCAAGAUUGACUUUUUACCGUCUACGAAAAAUCAAAUUCUAUUCAGCAAACUAUUGCCAUGGUAGUCAUAAAAUAUAAAACCAAAAUCAUGAAUCACAUCCUCAAAUUGUUAGAUUUUACUAAUUAGAUUUUUUAAUUCUCAUAGUUUUAUUUACUAUAAAAGUACUUAAACUUCUCCAACUACACGUACAUGGAAGAGACAGAGUGAAAUCUAUUAUAUUAUUUGCUCUAUGAGCCUGUCAUCAAUCGGUCUAUCCAGUACAUAUCAGUCUUUUUAUUAUAAUAUUAUUUUUAAUAAAAUGAUAAUAAUAAAUAUAAUUUUAGAAAAAAAAUAUAUUUCUUUUUUCACAUCAAAUUAAAAAUAUAAAAGUAGAUGCUUAGGCUAAGUUUAGAUUGGGAAUCUUGAAACAUAAAUUCUUAUUUGUUAUUUUUAUAAAAAUAAAUGAAUAAUAGUUGUUCGACGUAGUUAAGAUGUUAGGAAUAUGAGUGAUUCCGGUCAAAACCCAAAAAAACUACAUCCAAACUUGGAGUUCAAAAGAUGUAGUUAACAAGAGAAAUAUAUAGCUAGUCUCGUAUCUUACCCUCGUUGGAUAGACUAUAAUGGCCAUUAGAAAUCAAUAAAUGAUAAAGCAUGUUAAGAUGAGAAGAAGGCAUCAACAAUGUCAAUAAUGGAAGGAAUCAUAUUGGGAUUUGACUACCGACUACAAUAUAAACUUGGCUCGAUGGAUCGAUUUGUGCAUUUACUUCGUGGGGCCUUAAGCCAUGUUAAAGAUUGUGUAAUAGACCCGGUUGGAUUGGGUUGUUGAUCCAUCAAUCCUACCAGCACUGUGAUAGAUAGCAAGACAUGUUAUUAUAUGAUAUUAGCAUGGGUUAUCCAAAUGUACUACAACUAUUAUGGAUAAGGAUUCUAUUUCAGAGGUUGACUUAAAGUUCAUCUUACAUUGAGAAGAUGGAUUUAUGUAUCAAAAUGUGUAUUAGCUAUAUUUAUAUUAUUAGAGGUAAUAUAGCUUAUCUUUAAAAAUUUUUAAUUUUAUUUUAGGGUGAAUUCUCAGAAAAUUCAUAUAGCACUUUUUUUUUAUUUUUGAAUUUUUUUCCGUUGAAUACCCUAAUUUUUCUUCCUUUAUAGAAAUGUCACAAAAGAUUUUUUUUAUUUUUUAGUUUGAGAGCAUUUUGGUAUAUAUAAAAAAAAGGAUGCGAUGUCAAAAAGUUAAAAACAAAUAGACGGUUUACAAGAAAAAGAAAAAAAAAGGGGACCCUUCUAGGGAUUUUUUUUGACGUGCAAUAUACUUAAAACAUAAUAUAUAAAUAUUAUUUAGAUAAGCACUUUGUAUGAAGGAGACAUUAUAAUUAUAAUAAUUUCAAUGAUAUUAUAAUAUUUAUUAUAAAUAAUAUGACAAACAUGUUGAGAAUAAAUAAUAUUAUAUAUAAUAUAAUAUCAAAUAUAAUAGUUUUAAUUAGAAUAUAAUAUUUAUUAAAAGUAAUGUGAUAAAUGUAUUGAGAAUAAUAAUAUAAUCGACACUUCCUUACAAUCGCAUGUCGAUGUCAGGUGAUAAAUAUGUUGAGAAUAUAUAAUAUAACAUAAUAUGUUAUUAUAAUAUAAUAUUUAUUUGAAUAAGGGGAUAAAUAUGUUGAGAAUAAUGACAUAAAUUACGCUUGCAAUCAUAAAUGUGUUGAGAAUAUAUAAUAUAAUAUAAUAAUUUUUAUUAUAAAAUAUAAUAUAAUUAAAAAUGUCGAAGCAAUGGAUAAACAUGUCGAGAAUGUUAUAAUAUAAUAUAAUAAUGUUUAAUUAUAAUAUAAUAUUUAUUAGAAUAACGACAUGGCCGACACUCGCUUGCAAUGACAUGUCGUGUGUGUGAGGUUACAGCGGCAACUCUACAAAAACCAGCUGCAUUUGGCCGGUCGAUGACGCAGAGAGGGCAUCUGUGGUUCUCCAUGGAACUGCUGCAGCUCCCUUCCAUCCCAGUCUUGGUGUUCUCCUUCCUCUUCUUGCUCCUCUUGAUCAAGAAGAGAGGAUUCACCGGGUGCAGAAAUGAGAGCCACCCACCACGUCGUCCACCAGGCCCAUGGAAUCUACCCUUCGUCGGAUGCAUGCACCACCUGGUCGGGCAGCUCCCCUUCCGCGCAUUCCGCGAGCUCGCCCGCAAGCAUGGCCCCCUCAUGCUCCUCCGGCUCGGCCAGGUCGACGUCGUCGUCGUCUCCUCGCGCGAAGCCGCCGAGGAGAUCUUGAAGAACCAGAGCGUCACCUUCGCUUCCCGGCCCGAGCUCCUCUCUACCAAGUUCGUCUUCUACGGCCCAACCGGCAUCGUCUGGGCCCCCUACGGCCCUUACUGGCGGCAGCUGCUCAAGCUCUGCUGCAUGGAGCUGUUCUCCGCCGGGCGCAUCCGGUCGUUCUCCCCCAUCAGGACGGAGGAGACCCUUGACCUGAUGAGAGACAUCGCGAGGUCGGGCGGAACCACCGUCAACCUGACCGAGAAGCUCUUCGGGCUGUCGAACGCCAUCGUCUGCCGAGCGGCGUUCGGCAAGCGGCGCAAGCACCGGGAGAGGUUCAUCCCGGUCAUCAAGGAUGCUCUGGCGCUCUCCAGUGGUUUCCGCGUGGCCGACAUGUUCCCGUCGCUCAAGUUCAUCGACAUCCUCUCGGGUGCCGUGUUCAGGUUGCGGCGGCUCCGGCGGCAGCUAGACGAGAUCCUGGAAGACAUAAUCAAGGAGCAUGAGGGCAAGGCUUCCGCGAGCAGCGGCGACAAAGCUGGAGAGGUAGACGACCUAGUGGACGUGCUGCUGAGGCUCAAAGACGACCCCCAACUGGAAGUGCCCUUGACGAUGGAAAACGUCAAGGGUGUGAUCGUGGUAAGGAACGAUCCAUCGAUCGAUCGAUUCCCGUGAUACUAAUCUAUUGACUACCCACAUCGCUC
This 10951-nucleotide long non-coding RNA is filed under the name Musa acuminata (dwarf banana). RNAcentral describes it as "long non-coding RNA (MACU_LNC002909)". The record is from RNAcentral. Lineage: Eukaryota; Viridiplantae; Streptophyta; Magnoliopsida; Zingiberales; Musaceae.